This is a long non-coding RNA of Cervus elaphus (red deer), 2143 nucleotides long. RefSeq lists it as uncharacterized. The transcript is spliced from 3 exons. Lineage: Eukaryota; Metazoa; Chordata; Mammalia; Artiodactyla; Cervidae. The record is from RefSeq and is a predicted model, not a curated record.
CAGAGGAGCCUGGCAGGCUACAGUCCAUGGGGUCACAAGAGUCAGAAUUCAAAGUGAGAAGGAAAGCAAGCACCUAAGCAUGGGGGUGAUGAGUGGGAGAGUCAAUCAGAUGAGAGUCGGAAUGGGCCUAGAACUGGCUCUGCUCCUGAUAAGCUGUGUGACUCUGGAUGAAUCCACUGACCCCUCUGUGCUUCACAUCCUUAUCUGUGGAUGGAGAUCACACGCCCUCAUUCUCAGAGCAAUCAUCAGAACUGAAAACAAGCUACGCUCCAGGCCCAGUGCACGUAGCAGAGACCCUGAUAGCUGAGCCUCUGCACAUACACGCAAGGAAGAAGUGGUAACGAGUCGAUUCUAGGUAACAACAGAAAAGGCCCUAGGCUGUGGUGCAAGAAGCCCAAAGAUGAGAGCGGCCAGGACGGAGGGUCCCCAGCACUUACUGCAGUUCUCUUCGUCGCUGCCGUCUGGACAAUCCUCAAACCCGUUACACCGGAAGCGGCCGAUGAUGCAGUGGACGCCGCUGGCACACGGGAAGAAGGUCGGGCCGCAUUUCGACUUAGCCUUGGCUGCAAGAGGACAAACGAGAUAAACAAGCGAGACGUCAGGAGGAUAAGUUUUCUCAGCACCGUAUACCCGAGCUGCUAACUUGUAGGGUGCAACAGGGUCCUUUCACAUCUACCUUGACAUUCCCAGAGUUUCUUACCACCAGCACCCACCUCCAAAACCCAGCCAGGAUGGAAACCCCCAUGCAUCAUCCUCCAGGAAGGGGGUGACUCAAACACUGCUACCAAAGUCCCAAGGAGCCCAGACACCACCCCUGAGCCAGCGAGGCGCAAUCAAAAUGUGCCGAACAAAGGAAUGAAUGGGUGAGUAGAUGGAUGAUGGAUGGAGCUUGCUCUAAGGAGCUGAGGAACCACUCAGAAUUCAUAUCCUGACUCUCACAGUAAUCGUCUACACUUGCUGAGUGUUUACUAACCAGCCAGUGUGCCCAGAGCUCUACAUCAUCUCAUUUAUCCACCCAGCAACCACCCUAUAGGCCGGUGAGCAGAAAAGAGCUAUUAACCUAAGAGGCCUGAGGCUGCCACCCUGAGAAAGGCUUGCUUGCAAAGCUGGCCCUCGCUUGGUUGGCAUCUGGGAACUGGCAUUGCGGGAAGGUUCGCAUCAGUUUCUCCUGAGGAUGGCUCACUGUUCAUGCAAACUAUUCGUGCAAACAGUGCAUUUAUGCUGAACCCCUGCCUUUCUUCUGGGGGUUGGGAUUUUGAUACAUGUUGGCAGAGGGUGCCUGCAUGACCAGACCCCAGUAGAAACCCUGGGCACUGAGUCUCUAAUGAGCUUCCUGGAGAGAAAACAUGCCAUAUGUCAUAUUACACUUGUUGCUGGGGGGAUUCAGUGCCUCCUAUGUGACUGCCUUGGGAAAGGACUCUGAGAUCCUGGCUUGUUGUCCUCUGACUUCACUCUUUCACCAGUUCCCUUUGUUGGCUUCGCUUUGUCUCCUUUUGCUGUAAUAAAACACAGUACGACUGUGUGCUGAGUUCUCUGGUUCCUUCUGACAAAUCAUAGAAACUGAACGUGGUCACGGAAAGCCCCUGACAAAGACAGGUCAUAUCACAUCACAGAAAUGCUCUGAAGAGGUGAAGUGACUUGCCCAGGGUUACACGGCUCGAAAAUCUGAUGCAGGUGUGAGACCCCUGGCACUCCGAACCCAGAAGCCACGCUCUCAACCAACUCCGCUGUACUGCCCCUCUGCCAGCGGCUGUCACUUCUCACAACAGAAGCCAGACUCCUGCCCAAAGAAAUCCUUCUUCCACUCCUGCUGCACAAACAGUUUUAACAGAAACUGCUGUGACUCAGGCUUGAUGGAGUGUCCUGCUAACCAAACAGCCCUGCGGGGCAACGCGCUUUCCCAUCAGCGGGGCUGGCUGCUGUGGCUUGCGAUUACGAGAUAAGAAAACUGAGGCCCAGAAAUGAAGGUGCCUGAUACCGCUGAUCAACAGCGUCAAGGCUCAAACUUUAAUUAUCGAUUCAUGUAUGAAUGUGAGAGUUGGACCAUAAAGAAAGCUGAGCGCCGAAGAAUUGGUGCUUUUGAACUAUGGUGUUGAAGAAGAUUCUUUGAGAGUCUGUUGGACUGCAAGGAGAUCAAACCAGU